CCUACGGGGGGCAGCAGUGGGGAAUAUUGCACAAUGGAGGGAACCCUGAUGCAGCGACGCCGCGUGAGUGAAGAAGUAUUUCGGUAUGUAAAGCUCUAUCAGCAGGGAAGAAAAUGACGGUACCUGACUAAGAAGCCCCGGCUAACUACGGGCCAGCAGCCGCAGUAAUACGUAGGGGGCAAGCGUUAUCCGGAUUUACUGGGUGUAAAGGGAGCGUAGACGGUUAUUCAAGUCUGAAGUGAAAUCCAAAGGCUCAACCAUGGGACUGCAUUGGAAACUGUAAAACUGGAGUGCAGGAGAGGUGGGCGGAAUUCGUGGUGUAGCGGUGAAAUGCGUAGAUAUUAGGAGGAACACCGGUGGCGAAGGCAGCUUACUGGACUGUAACUGACGCUGAGGCUCGAAGGCGUGGGGAGCAAACAGGAUUAGAUACCCGGGUAGUC
RNAcentral lists this ribosomal RNA (440 nucleotides) under uncultured bacterium. Its description in RNAcentral is "partial 16S ribosomal RNA". It matches the Rfam family "Bacterial small subunit ribosomal RNA", at positions 338 to 795 of the family's 1533-position model. The record is from RNAcentral.